CAGCCGCCGCGGUAAUACGUAGGGGGCGAGCGUUGUCCGGAAUUAUUGGGCGUAAAGCGCGCGCAGGCGGUCCCUUAAGUCUGAUGUGAAAGCCCACGGCUCAACCGUGGAGGGUCAUUGGAAACUGGGGGACUUGAGUGCAGAAGAGGAGAGCGGAAUUCCACGUGUAGCGGUGAAAUGCGUAGAGAUGUGGAGGAACACCAGUGGCGAAGGCGGCUCUCUGGUCUGUAACUGACGCUGAGGCGCGAAAGCGUGGGGAGCGAACAGGAUUAGAUACCCUGGUAGUCCACGCCGUAAACGAUGAGUGCUAAGUGUUAGAGGGGUUAAACCCUUUAGUGCUGUAGCUAACGCGUUAAGCACUCCGCCUGGGGAGUACGGCCGCAAGGCUGAAACUUAAAGGAAUUGGCGGG
Molecule: ribosomal RNA, 410 nt
Filed under: uncultured microorganism
Description: bacterial SSU rRNA
Rfam family: Bacterial small subunit ribosomal RNA
Source: RNAcentral